This 253-nucleotide ribosomal RNA is filed under the name uncultured bacterium. RNAcentral's name for it is "partial 16S ribosomal RNA". It matches the Rfam family "Bacterial small subunit ribosomal RNA", at positions 524 to 776 of the family's 1533-position model. The record is from RNAcentral.
UACGUAGGGUGCAAGCGUUGUCCGGAAUUAUUGGGCGUAAAGAGCUCGUAGGCGGUCUGUCGCGUCGGAUGUGAAAACCCAGGGCUCAACCCUGGGCCUGCAUUCGAUACGGGCAGACUAGAGUUCGGUAGGGGAGACUGGAAUUCCUGGUGUAGCGGUGAAAUGCGCAGAUAUCAGGAGGAACACCGGUGGCGAAGACGGGUCUCUGGGCCGAAACUGACGCUGAGGAGCGAAAGCGUGGGGAGCGAACAGG